UACAGAGGUCCCGAGCGUUGUUCGGAUUCAUUGGGCGUAAAGGGUGCGUAGGCGGCUGGGUAAGUUUGAUGUGAAAUCCUGGGGCUCAACCCUGGAACUGCAUUGAAUACUGCUCGGCUAGAGUACUGGAGAGGAAACUGGAAUUCACGGUGUAGCAGUGAAAUGCGUAGAUAUCGUGAGGAAGACCAGUGGCGAAGGCGAGUUUCUGGACAGUUACUGACGCUGGAGGCACGAAGGCCAGGGGAGCAAACGGG
This 254-nucleotide ribosomal RNA is filed under the name uncultured bacterium. Its description in RNAcentral is "partial 16S ribosomal RNA". It matches the Rfam family "Bacterial small subunit ribosomal RNA", at positions 524 to 776 of the family's 1533-position model. The record is from RNAcentral.